This 303-nucleotide ribosomal RNA is filed under the name uncultured bacterium. RNAcentral's name for it is "bacterial SSU rRNA". It matches the Rfam family "Bacterial small subunit ribosomal RNA", at positions 47 to 339 of the family's 1533-position model. The record is from RNAcentral.
CUUAACACAUGCAAGUCGAGGGGCAGCAUGGGGGUUGCUCGCAACCCCUGAUGGCGACCGGCGCACGGGUGAGUAACGCGUAUCCGACCUUCCCGCGGCAGGGGCAUAACCCGGUGAAAGCCGGACUAAUUCCCCGUGGUCCCCACACAGGGCAUCCUUCGUGGGGUAUAGGAUCCGUCCGGCCGCGGACGGGGAUGCGUCCGAUUAGCUUGUUGGCGGGGUAACGGCCCACCAAGGCACCGAUCGGUAGGGGUUCUGAGAGGAAGGCCCCCCACAUUGGGACUGAGACACGGCCCAAACUCC